CCUACGGGAGUCAGCAGUGAGGAAUAUUGGUCAAUGGGCGCAGGCCUGAACCAGCCAAGUCGCGUGAGGGCAGACUGCCCUAUGGGUUGUAAACCUCUUUUAUAAGGGAAUAAUAAUGACUACGUGUAGUCAGAUGCACGUACCUUAUGAAUAAGCAUCGGCUAACUCCGUGCCAGCAGCCGCGGUACUACGGAGGAUGCGAGCGUUAUCCGGAUUUAUUGGGUUUAAAGGGUGCGUAGGCGGUAUUUUAAGUUAGUGGUAAAAUGUCGGGGCCUAACCUUGAUUGGCCAUUAAAACUGGCGUACUAGAGUACAGAAGAGGUAGGCGGAAUAAGUUAAGUAGCGGUGAAAUGCUUAGAUAUAACGGAGAACCCCGAUAGCGAAGGCAGCUUGCCAGACUGUUACUGACGCUGAAGCACGAGAGCGUGGGUAGCGAACAGGAUUAGAUACCCGAGUAGUC
RNAcentral lists this ribosomal RNA (459 nucleotides) under uncultured bacterium. Its description in RNAcentral is "partial 16S ribosomal RNA". It matches the Rfam family "Bacterial small subunit ribosomal RNA", at positions 338 to 795 of the family's 1533-position model. The record is from RNAcentral.